Long non-coding RNA from Culex quinquefasciatus (southern house mosquito), 1012 nucleotides. RefSeq lists it as uncharacterized. NCBI's taxonomy places the organism in Eukaryota, Metazoa, Arthropoda, Insecta, Diptera, Culicidae. The record is from RefSeq and is a predicted model, not a curated record. The transcript has 3 exons.
CGCGAGAAAAAAAAUUAAAUGGAAACGAAAAUGAAUAAAAAUGACUAUGGUCUCAAAUUUGUGGAAAAAAACAACUGGUUUGGGAAUUGGGGUUAGUGGUGAGGAAAUGGAAAAUUGUGGUGAUUCUGUAGAUACCGGUGAAAAUGUUGGAAUAUUGUGACAAAAUUUAGAAUCUUUGUGGAAAUUUUAUUUGUAUCUUAUGUUUUUGUGGCCAUAUUUGUUCGAGAAAAAAAAUAUUUCUACACUGUGUAUUGGUGACGCCACAACAAAAAUUGAUACACGACGACAUGUUAAAAUAAUUUAAAAGCAAUCCACAACGUGUUUGUGUGUGUUAUAUGAAAGUAAUCUCUAUUGUUGGUCUCAGCACAUCGAGGAGACUGGCUCGACUCAGAUGGCGAGAUCGACAUAGCCGGAAAAAAUUGUAACAAAAGAGUUGGUUCGGACAGCGCGUGUUCUGUUUUUAUCUCAUCAACCGAAGUAAGAUCGUGAUUGGAAAUUUCUAUUGAAGGAAUAUCUAAACUUUCGUCGACCGGAGGGGAUUCUACUGGGCCGCGGAAUGACGGGUCUACUUCUAAGCUGAAACAGAUGUUAUCGUGAUCGUAUUCUGCCACGUGCGAUAUGGAAUUAACAUCGAAAUCGAUCGCGCUGCCUUCCGGGACAGGUUUACCGCCGAUUGACAAGUGGAUAUCGAACGCUUUCCAAAAAUCUGUUCCGAGGAUCAAGUCUUUCGACAAUUCCGGGAUGAUCGCGGUUGGAAUGACUUUCGUCUUAUUAUUGAACGUGAAGGGAAUGUACGCGAAACCGAUACAGAUUUAAUCGCUCGAGAAGAUCUACUGCGUUAGUCACCGUAAUAUUCGCUCCUGAAUCGAGAAGUCCUGUUAACCUUUCAUUGAGGAUUUCAACGGUUGCGUGCGGACAUCGUGAAGGGCUCGUAUUGACGUGGAAAACUCGAUUGAAAUAAUUGAAAUCAACUUGGGACGACGGCAGUACGUCCUGGGCCGUCCCGCCACCU